This 73-nucleotide transfer RNA is filed under the name Klebsiella pneumoniae subsp. pneumoniae. RNAcentral's name for it is "tRNA-Val". It matches the Rfam family "tRNA". From Rfam's summary of the family: Transfer RNA (tRNA) molecules are approximately 80 nucleotides in length. Their secondary structure includes four short double-helical elements and three loops (D, anti-codon, and T loops). Further hydrogen bonds mediate the characteristic L-shaped molecular structure. tRNAs have two regions of fundamental functional importance: the anti-codon, which is responsible for specific mRNA codon recognition, and the 3' end, to which the tRNAs corresponding amino acid is attached (by aminoacyl-tRNA synthetases). tRNAs cope with the degeneracy of the genetic code in two manners: having more than one tRNA (with a specific anti-codon) for a particular amino acid; and 'wobble' base-pairing, i.e. permitting non-standard base-pairing at the 3rd anti-codon position. Lineage: Bacteria; Pseudomonadati; Pseudomonadota; Gammaproteobacteria; Enterobacterales; Enterobacteriaceae. The record is from RNAcentral.
GGGUGAUUAGCUCAGCUGGGAGAGCACCUCCCUUACAAGGAGGGGGUCGGCGGUUCGAUCCCGUCAUCAAAAA